Nicotiana attenuata is the source of this 268-nucleotide long non-coding RNA. RefSeq lists it as uncharacterized. The record is from RefSeq and is a predicted model, not a curated record. The transcript has 3 exons. Lineage: Eukaryota; Viridiplantae; Streptophyta; Magnoliopsida; Solanales; Solanaceae.
AGCCUUGGCGUAACUGGUAAAGUUUCUGCCGACCAAGAGGUCACGGGUUCGAGCUGUGAAAGCAGCCUCUUGAAGAAAUGCUAGGUUCUGUCAAUGGUUCUUGUGACACUAACCGGAGAGUUGUUUCUUGAUCGUUUCUAACAAGUUUGGAGAUUCCUGUGCCGCCUCCUUCUGCAAUAUUAGAGGGAGGUACUGUUUUCUGUUUCACUAUGUAGUUCUGUUUGCAAAUUGAGUAUCUCCAUGCUCACAUCUAGCUCGUCGGAUCUUC